Molecule: microRNA precursor, 82 nt
Filed under: Marmota monax (woodchuck)
Lineage: Eukaryota; Metazoa; Chordata; Mammalia; Rodentia; Sciuridae
Source: RNAcentral
UGUGUGUGUGUGUGUGUGUAUGUAUGUAUGUGUGUAUAUAUAUAUAUAUACACACACAUACAUACACACACACACACACACA